Molecule: unclassified non-coding RNA, 431 nt
Filed under: soil metagenome
Description: partial contains 5.8S ribosomal RNA, internal transcribed spacer 2, and large subunit ribosomal RNA
Rfam family: 5.8S ribosomal RNA (bases 1-120)
Source: RNAcentral
GAUGAAGAACGUAGCGAAAUGCGAUACGUAAUGUGAAUUGCAGAAUUCAGUGAAUCAUCGAAUCUUUGAACGCAUAUUGCGCUCUCUGGUAUUCCGGAGAGCAUGCUUGUUUGAGUAUCAGUAAACACCUCAACUUCCAUAUCUUUUUUGAAAUGGGAGUUGGACUUGAGUGAUCCCAACGCUUUUCCUCACCGAAAAGUGGCGGGUUACUUGAAAUGCAGGUGCAGCUGGACUUUUCUCUGAGCUAUAAGCAUAUCUAUUUAGUCUGCCUAAAAAACAGAUUAUUACCUUUGCUGCAGCUAACAUAAAGGAGAUUAGUUCUUGUGCUGACUGAUGCAGGAUUCACAAAGACGGCUUCGGCCGACUUUGUAAACUCGAUCUCAAAUCAAGUAAGACUACCCGCUGAACUUAAGCAUACAAUAAGCGGAGGA